GAUGAACGCUGGCGGCGUGCUUAACACAUGCAAGUCGAACGGAAAGGCCCAAGCUUGCUUGGGUACUCGAGUGGCGAACGGGUGAGUAACACGUGGGUGAUCUGCCCUGCACUUCGGGAUAAGCCUGGGAAACUGGGUCUAAUACCGGAUAGGACCACAUUUUGGAUGGUGUGGUGGAAAGUUUUUCGGUGUGGGAUGAGCUCGCGGCCUAUCAGCUUGUUGGUGGGGUAAUGGCCUACCAAGGCGUCGACGGGUAGCCGGCCUGAGAGGGUGUACGACCACAUUGGGACUGAGAUACGGCCCAGACUCCUACGGGAGGCAGCAGUGGGGAAUAUUGCACAAUGGGCGCAAGCCUGAUGCAGCGACGCCGCGUGGGGGAUGACGGCCUUCGGGUUGUAAACUCCUUUCGCUAGGGACGAAGCGUUAUGUGACGGUACCUGGAGAAGAAGCACCGGCUAACUACGUG
This 466-nucleotide ribosomal RNA is filed under the name uncultured bacterium. RNAcentral describes it as "partial 16S ribosomal RNA". It matches the Rfam family "Bacterial small subunit ribosomal RNA", at positions 28 to 507 of the family's 1533-position model. The record is from RNAcentral.